This 947-nucleotide unclassified non-coding RNA is filed under the name Hevea brasiliensis (rubber tree). Lineage: Eukaryota; Viridiplantae; Streptophyta; Magnoliopsida; Malpighiales; Euphorbiaceae. The record is from RNAcentral.
AUACAACUCCCCAUGUAGAGGCUGCAAAAAAGAGGAAACAGUCAAAAAAUAAAACAGUGUAAAGAAGCAAAAGAAUACAAUUGACAGUCAUAUGCUAUAAAAAGACUAUAAAAAUCCAAAUGGCAGACAGUAAUUCACUUUUUCACUUUUCACCAAUCUAGAUAUAAUAUAUGGAAAUGUUAGUAUAGCUGGGAAUAUUUGCUAUACGAAUUCAUCCAAGCCUUUUCAUAUUUAAAAACAUGAGCUGAAGAGACAUGCAUAGACAGUGAGCUAGUAAGCAGUCACACAUCUAGAAAAUUUUUUCAAUAGGAGCACUAUCAUUUUGACCUAAUGGUUCAAAAAUUCAUGAACUUUGCACACCUUUUCAAUUGUACCAUAUUAUUUUAAUAUUCAAUUUGACUCAAAGAGCACUGAUUUUGCUUCUAUUUCAUCCAAUGGAUAUAGGAUGUGAAACAUGACAUUGAGGUGGACUUCCAAUGUGAACAAAAAUUGCUAACUCAAAUGAUGGGAGCCCCCUCCCAAACGCUAGAAGCCACAAAAAGGUGUCAAUUUGCAAAAUAUGAAUCACAAAAAGCAUUUAAGUAGUUUCAUUGGUGGGAAGGGUGGGAGAGGAAUUUGCAGAACACAAUUGUUUGGUGGCUCUUAGGGAUCAAGGGGACCCACUUCUUUCAAGUAAGCAAGUUAUAUCAUGUUUGCCUUAGACCUCAACACUAUGCCAGAAUGGGCAUAUGCCCCAAACGGUUUUUAAUACAAUUAAAACUAAAUUAGUAACUUAUAAACUAAAUUAAUAAAAUUAUUACAAUAAUUCUCAGCAUGCCUUCAUAUUGUUUUUGUAUACUAUAUUUGUUUAUGAAUUUUACAACCAUUUAAUCACUUAUCUCUUAUAUAAUUUUGAAUAGAUCACUUAUAUUGAUUUCUUUUUAAUGGGGAGAGAGAGAGAGAGAGAG